RNAcentral lists this small RNA (143 nucleotides) under Flavobacterium aquidurense. Its description in RNAcentral is "Flavo-1 RNA". It matches the Rfam family "Flavo-1 RNA". Lineage: Bacteria; Pseudomonadati; Bacteroidota; Flavobacteriia; Flavobacteriales; Flavobacteriaceae. The record is from RNAcentral.
UUUUAGCCCAGAUUGAAAUGGAAAUCCCGGAGCAAAAAAAAUAAAGUUUCUUGUUUAAAAAAAGCGACCAACGGAAGCUCUUUUUUGAACAAUAGAAACUCUAUUUUUUUUGUGAGGAAUUGAAAUGGAAAGCUGGAAAUAGC